AGAGUUUGAUCCUGGCUCAGGAUGAACGCUAGCUACAGGCUUAACACAUGCAAGUCGAGGGGCAGCAUUAGAUUAGCUUGCUAAUUAGAUGGCGACCGGCGCACGGGUGAGUAACGCGUAUCCAACCUUCCCCCUGCUCAGGGAUAGCCCGGUGAAAACCGGAUUAAGACCUGAUAGUUUCACUAGAUGGCAUCUGACGGUGAAUAAAGGUUUCGGCAAGGGAUGGGGAUGCGUCUGAUUAGCUUGUUGGCGGGUAACGGCCACCAAGGCGACGAUCAGUAGGGGCUCUGAGAGGAAGGUCCCCCACAUUGGAACUGAGACACGGUCCAAACUCCUACGGGAGGCAGCAGUGAGGAAUAUUGGUCAAUGGGCGGAAGCCUGAACCAGCCAAGUAGCGUGCAAGGAUGACGGCCCUAUGGGUUGUAAACUGCUUUUGUGCGGGAAUAAAGUCAGGGACGCGUCCCUGUUUGCAUGUACCGCAAGAAUAAGGACCGGCUAAUUCCGUGCCAGCCGCUGC
RNAcentral lists this ribosomal RNA (517 nucleotides) under uncultured bacterium. Its description in RNAcentral is "bacterial SSU rRNA". It matches the Rfam family "Bacterial small subunit ribosomal RNA", at positions 8 to 518 of the family's 1533-position model. The record is from RNAcentral.